RNAcentral lists this ribosomal RNA (855 nucleotides) under uncultured bacterium. Its description in RNAcentral is "bacterial SSU rRNA". It matches the Rfam family "Bacterial small subunit ribosomal RNA", at positions 8 to 818 of the family's 1533-position model. The record is from RNAcentral.
AGAGUUUGAUCCUGGCUCAGGAUGAACGCCGGCGGUGUGCCUAAUACAUGCAAGUCGUACGCACUGGCCCAACUGAUUGAUGGUGCUUGCACCUGAUUGACAAUGGAUCACCAAUGAGUGGCGGACGGGUGAGUAACACGUAUGUAACCUGCCUCGGAGCGGGGGAUAACAUUUGGAAACACAUGCUAAUACCGCAUAACAACAAAAGCCACAUGGCUUUUGUUUGAAAGAUGGCUUUAGCUAUCACUCUGGGAUGGACCUGCGGUGCAUUAGCUAGUUGGUAAGGUAACUGCUUACCAAGGCAAUGAUGCAUAGCCGAGUUGAGAGACUGAUCGGCCACAAUGGAACUGAGACACGGUCCAUACUCCUACGGGAGGCAGCAGUAGGGAAUCUUCCACAAUGGGCCCAAGCCUGAUGGAGCAACACCGCGUGAGUGAAGAAGGGUUUCGGCUCGUAAAGCUCUGUUGUCUGGAGAAGAACGUGCGUGAGAGUAACUGUUCACGCAGUGACGGUAUCCAACCAGAAAGUCACGGCUAACUACGUGCCAGCAGCCGCGGUAAUACGUAGGUGGCAAGCGUUAUCCGGAUUUAUUGGGCGUAAAGCGAGCGCAGGCGGUUGCUUAGGUCUGAUGUGAAAUCCUUCGGCUUAACCGAAGAAGUGCAUCGGAAACCGGGCGUCUUGAGUGCAGAAGAGGACAGUGGAACUCCAUGUGUAGCGGUGGAAUGCGUAGAUAUAUGGAAGAACACCAGUGGCGAAGGCGGCUGUCUGGUCUGCAACUGACGCUGAGGCUCGAAAGCAUGGGUAGCGAACAGGAUUAGAUACCCUGGUAGUCCAUGCCGUAAACGAUGAGUGCUA